AUCUAAGGCCACACCACUCAGAACGUGCCUGAUAUCAUCUGAUCUCAGAAGCUAAGCAGGGUUGGGCCUGGUUAGUACUUGGAUGGGGGAACACAAGUUGUACAUU
Molecule: ribosomal RNA, 106 nt
Filed under: Castor canadensis (American beaver)
Lineage: Eukaryota; Metazoa; Chordata; Mammalia; Rodentia; Castoridae
Source: RNAcentral